This 460-nucleotide ribosomal RNA is filed under the name uncultured bacterium. Its description in RNAcentral is "partial 16S ribosomal RNA". It matches the Rfam family "Bacterial small subunit ribosomal RNA", at positions 338 to 795 of the family's 1533-position model. The record is from RNAcentral.
CCUACGAGAGGCAGCAGUGAGGAAUAUUGGUCAAUGGGCGCGAGACUGAACCAGCCAAGUAGCGUGAAGGAUGACUGCCCUACGGGUUGUAAACUUCUUUUAUAAAGGAAUAAAGUGAGGCACGUGUGCCUUUUUGUGUGUACUUUAUGAAUAAGGAUCGGCUACCUCCGUGCCAGCAGCCGCGGUAAUACGGAGGAUCCGAGCGUUAUCCGGAGUUAUUGGGUUUAAAGGGAGCGGAGAUGGGUUGUUAAGUCAGUUGUGAAAGUUUGCGGCUCAACCGUAAAAGUGCAAUGGAUAAUGGCAGCCUUGAGUACAGUUGAGGUAGGCGGAAUUCGUGGUGUAGCGGUGAAAUGCUGAGAUAUCACGAAGAACUCCGAUUGCGAAGGCAGCCUACUAAACUGCCACUGACAUUGAUGCUAGAAAGUGUGGGUAUCAAACAGGAUUAGAUACCCCUGUAGUC